CGGACGGGUGAGUAACGCGUGAGAAUCUGGCUUCAGGUCUGGGACAACAGUUGGAAACGACUGCUAAUACCGGAUGUGCCGAAAGGUGAAAGGCUGGCUGCCUGAAGAUGAGCUCGCGUCUGAUUAGCUAGUUGGUAGAGUAAGAGCCUACCAAGGCGACGAUCAGUAGCUGGUCUGAGAGGAUGAUCAGCCACACUGGGACUGAGACACGGCCCAGACUCCUACGGGAGGCAGCAGUGGGGAAUUUUCCGCAAUGGGCGAAAGCCUGACGGAGCAAUACCGCGUGAGGGAGGAAGGCUCUUGGGUUGUAAACCUCUUUUCUCAAGGAAUAAAAUUUGAAGGUACUUGAGGAAUCAGCAUCGGCUAACUCCGUGCCAGCAGCCGCGGUAAUACGGAGGAUGCAAGCGUUAUCCGGAAUGAUUGGGCGUAAAGCGUCCGCAGGUGGCGAUGUAAGUCUGCUGUUAAAGAGCAAAGCUUAACUUUGUAAAAGCAGUGGAAACUACAAAGCUAGAGUGCGUUCGGGGCAGAAGGAAUUCCUGGUGUAGCGGUGAAAUGCGUAGAGAUCAGGAAGAACACCGGUGGCGAAGGCG
RNAcentral lists this ribosomal RNA (590 nucleotides) under Nostoc sp. LCRSM-UPC. Its description in RNAcentral is "bacterial SSU rRNA". It matches the Rfam family "Bacterial small subunit ribosomal RNA", at positions 99 to 723 of the family's 1533-position model. The record is from RNAcentral. Lineage: Bacteria; Bacillati; Cyanobacteriota; Cyanophyceae; Nostocales; Nostocaceae.